GUGCUCGCUUCGGCAGCACAUAUACUAAAAUAGGAACGAUACAGAGAUUAGCAUGGGCCCUGUGCAAGGAUGACACAGAUUCGUGAAGCGUUCCAUAUUUUU
Small nuclear RNA from Suncus etruscus (white-toothed pygmy shrew), 102 nucleotides. The record is from RefSeq and is a predicted model, not a curated record. NCBI's taxonomy places the organism in Eukaryota, Metazoa, Chordata, Mammalia, Eulipotyphla, Soricidae.